This 1308-nucleotide ribosomal RNA is filed under the name Dichoptera nasuta. Its description in RNAcentral is "SSU rRNA". It matches the Rfam family "Eukaryotic small subunit ribosomal RNA", at positions 441 to 1674 of the family's 1831-position model. The record is from RNAcentral. Lineage: Eukaryota; Metazoa; Arthropoda; Insecta; Hemiptera; Fulgoridae.
UUACCCACUCCCGGCACGGGGAGGUAGUGACGAAAAAUAACGAUACGGGACUCAUCCGAGGCCCCGUAAUCGGAAUGAGUAUACUCUAAAUCCUUAUACGAGUAUCAAUUGGAGGGCAAGUCUGGUGCCAGCAGCCGCGGUAAUUCCAGCUCCAAUAGCGUAUAUUAAAGUUGUUGCGGUUAAAAAGCUCGUAGUUGGAUCUGUGUCCCGCGCCGUCGGUUCACCGCCUGUCGGUGUUCAACUGGCGUGUAUGCGGGACGUCCUGCCGGUGGCGGUCCGGUCCCCCGCGUGUACGCAGGCGCCUACUGCUUGCGUUGUCGCCGAAGGCCCGUGGGUGCGGCCGGCCGCCUUUUCAAUCCCGUCGCGGUGCUCUUUACCGGGUGUCGGGGCGGGUUUACUUUGAACAAAUUAGAGUGCUUUAAGCAGGCCCUGUCCCCCUGUAUGUUGUGUGCAUGGAAUAAUGGAAUAGGACCUCGGUUCUAUUUUGUUGGUUUUCGGAAUCUGAGGUAAUGAUCAAUGGGGACAGGCGGGGGCAUUCGUAUUGCGACGUUAGAGGUGAAAUUCUUGGAUCGUCGCAAGACGGACCGAAGCGAAAGCAUUUGCCAAGUAUGUUCUCGUCGAUCAAGAACGAAAGUUAGAGGUUCGAAGGCGAUCAGAUACCGCCCUAGUUCUAACCAUAAACUAUGCCUGCCAGCGAUCCGCCGAAGUUCCUCCGAUGACUCGGCGGGCAGCUUCCGGGAAACCAGAGCUUUUGGGUUCCGGGGGAAGUAUGGUUGCAAAGCUGAAACUUAAAGGAAUUGACGGAAGGGCACCACCAGGAGUGGAGCCUGCGGCUUAAUUUGACUCAACACGGGAAAACUCACCAGGCCCGGACACCGGAAGGAUUGACAGAUUGAGAGCUCUUUCUUGAUUCGGUGGGUGGUGGUGCAUGGCCGUUCUUAGUUGGUGGAGCGAUUUGUCUGGUUAAUUCCGAUAACGAACGAGACUCUAGCCUACUAACUAGGCGUACCCGGUAUCCACAAUCGUGCUACCGGCGGUCAAAUUUCUUCUUAGAGGGACAGGCGGCUUCUAGCCGCACGAGACUGAGCAAUAACAGGUCUGUGAUGCCCUUAGAUGUCCUGGGCCGCACGCGCGCUACACUGAAGGAAUCAGCGUGUCUUCCCUGUCCGAAAGGACCGGGUAACCCGCUGAACCUCCUUUGUGCUAGGGAUUGGGGCUUGCAAUUGUUCCCCAUGAACGAGGAAUUCCCAGUAAGCGCGAGUCAUAAGCUCGCGUUGAUUACGUCCCUGCCCUUUGUACACACCGCCC